AUCAACUUUCGAUGGUAGGAUAGAGGCCUACCAUGGUGGUAACGGGUAACGGGGUGUUAGGGCACGACACCGGAGAGGGAGCCUGAGAAACGGCUACCACAUCCAAGGAUGGCAGCAGGCGCGCAAAUUACCCAAUCCCGACACGGGGAGGUAGUGACAAUAAAUAACAAUACGGGGUUCUUUCGGAUCUCGUAAUUGGAAUGAGUACAAUUUAAAUCUCUUAACGAGGAACAAUUGGAGGGCAAGUCUGGUGCCAGCAGCCGCGGUAAUUCCAGCUCCAAUAGCGUAUAUUAAAGUUGUUGCAGUUAAAAAGCUCGUAGUUGAAUUUCGGGGUUAGCAGGUCGGUCGUGCCAUCGGUAUGAACUGGUCUCGCUGAUCCCUCCCUCUUGACGAACUGUGAUGGCAUUAAUUUGUUGUCGCAGGGAAUCAGGACUGUUACUUUGAAAAAAUUAGAGUGUUUAAAGCAGGCUUUCGCUUGAAUACAUUAGCAUGGAAUAAUGAAAUAGGACGUUUGAUCCUAUUUUGUUGGUUUCUAGGAUUGACGUAAUGAUUAAUAGGGAUAGUUGGGGGCAUUAGUAUUCAAUUGUCAGAGGUGAAAUUCUUGGAUUUAUUGAAGACUAACUACUGCGAAAGCAUUUGCCAAGGAUGUUUUCAUUAAUCAAGAACGAAAGUUAGGGGAUCGAAGACGAUCAGAUACCGUCGUAGUCUUAACCAUAAACUAUGCCGACUAGGGAUCGGAUGAUGUUAAUUUUUUAAUGACUCAUUCGGCGCCUUACGGGAAACCAAAGUGUUUGGGUUC
RNAcentral lists this ribosomal RNA (799 nucleotides) under uncultured Sclerocystis. RNAcentral's name for it is "SSU rRNA". It matches the Rfam family "Eukaryotic small subunit ribosomal RNA", at positions 314 to 1114 of the family's 1831-position model. Lineage: Eukaryota; Fungi; Glomeromycota; Glomeromycetes; Glomerales; Glomeraceae. The record is from RNAcentral.